RNAcentral lists this ribosomal RNA (514 nucleotides) under uncultured bacterium. RNAcentral describes it as "bacterial SSU rRNA". It matches the Rfam family "Bacterial small subunit ribosomal RNA", at positions 9 to 517 of the family's 1533-position model. The record is from RNAcentral.
GAGUUUGAUCAUGGCUCAGAUUGAACGCUGGCGGCAGGCCUAACACAUGCAAGUCGGGCGGUAGAGAGAAGCUUGCUUCUCUUGAGAGCGGCGGACGGGUGAGUAAUGCCUAGGAAUCUGCCUGGUAGUGGGGGAUAACGCUCGGAAACGGACGCUAAUACCGCAUACGUCCUACGGGAGAAAGCAGGGGACCUUCGGGCCUUGCGCUAUCAGAUGAGCCUAGGUCGGAUUAGCUAGUUGGUGAGGUAAUGGACUCACCAAGGCGACGAUCCGUAACUGGUCUGAGAGGAUGAUCAGUCACACUGGAACUGAGACACGGUCCAGACUCCUACGGGAGGCAGCAGUGGGGAAUAUUGGACAAUGGGCGAAAGCCUGAUCCAGCCAUGCCGCGUGUGUGAAGAAGGUCUUCGGAUUGUAAAGCACUUUAAGUUGGGAGGAAGGGCAGUAAAUUAAUACUUUGCUGUUUUGACGUUACCGACAGAAUAAGCACCGGCUAACUCUGUGCCAGCCGCCG